This 497-nucleotide ribosomal RNA is filed under the name uncultured bacterium. Its description in RNAcentral is "partial 16S ribosomal RNA". It matches the Rfam family "Bacterial small subunit ribosomal RNA", at positions 28 to 507 of the family's 1533-position model. The record is from RNAcentral.
GAUGAACGCUGGCGGCGCGCCUAAUACAUGCAAGUCGAGCGAACGGACGAGAAGCUUGCUUCUCUGAUGUUAGCGGCGGACGGGUGAGUAACACGUGGAUAACCUACCUAUAAGACUGGGAUAACUUCGGGAAACCGGAGCUAAUACCGGAUAAUAUUUUGAACCGCAUGGUUCAAAAGUGAAAGACGGUCUUGCUGUCACUUAUAGAUGGAUCCGCGCUGCAUUAGCUAGUUGGUAAGGUAACGGCUUACCAAGGCAACGAUGCAUAGCCGACCUGAGGGGGUGAUCGGCCACACUGGAACUGAGACACGGUCCAGACUCCUACGGGAGGCAGCAGUAGGGAAUCUUCCGCAAUGGGCGAAAGCCUGACGGAGCAACGCCGCGUGAGUGAUGAAGGUCUUCGGAUCGUAAAACUCUGUUAUUAGGGAAGAACAUAUGUGUAAGUAACUGUGCACAUCUUGACGGUACCUAAUCAGAAAGCCACGGCUAACUACGUG